UUGGGAUAGCUCAGUUGG
Molecule: transfer RNA, 18 nt
Filed under: Austrosynotis rectirama
Lineage: Eukaryota; Viridiplantae; Streptophyta; Magnoliopsida; Asterales; Asteraceae
Also listed under: 2 other names
Description: partial tRNA-Phe
Source: RNAcentral